Molecule: long non-coding RNA, 1350 nt
Organism: Triticum dicoccoides
Lineage: Eukaryota; Viridiplantae; Streptophyta; Magnoliopsida; Poales; Poaceae
Exons: 2
Source: RefSeq, a predicted model, not a curated record
GGAGUCAACGCACUUACCCCUCUCCUCACACGUUCUGUUCAUGCCCGAUCCCCUCCUUCCCACCUUCUUCCUCCUGCACAGCCUCCUCCCACCUCCCCUCCACCUUCCACUGCCGGCGACGCCAGGGGCUCGUGCCUCCGAUGCCAGAGCCGUACUGCCGCCUGUCUAUCUCUUUUGCCCUGCCAACCCACCACCCCGGAGCGAGAUGCGCGCGGCUCCCCCGUGCCCGGCGACCUUCCCCCGCCGGCGCCGCCCUCCCCCGAUCCACUUUCUUUCCCCGCUGGCGCCGCCCUGCCCCAAUCCACCUUCUUCCCUCGCCGGUGUCGCCCUCCCCCGAUCCAUCUAUUUCCCCUUCCCUAGGCAUCGCCGAACUUCCCCUCGCCUCGAUCUGCAGCGACGCAGACGAUUGGUAGUAGGGCGCGCCGCCCUUCCCCUCCCCUCGAAUUUUUGGGGCGCCAAGACCCAGCGCGAUCUCGGCGGCGCCGUGGCACAGCCACUGUCUACCGGCGGCGACAUGUCCCCCGAGCUCCCCCUGCCUCCCUGCGGUCAUCCUCUUCCUGUCGGGAUCACCGCCUCUUGAUGCCGACCAGGUCGAGGAGUUGUCCCGCAGUGGUGGCCGCCAAGGCUUCGCCUCCUCUGGAUCCGGCGGCCAUGGCCUCCGCCGUCUCAUCUGCUGCUUCCCGCGGCUGUAGCUCAUGAAGAAGACGGCGACUAUGGUGGCGACGCCUCCCGCCCAAGGAGGAGCAGGGCAGCAGUGUGGGGGCGAAGGAUGGCGGCAGGAAGGGCGGGCCCAGAUGCAGGGUGAUGCUGCCCUGCGUUGUCGCCGCCGGUGUGCAGUUUAGCUCUCCCUCCUCACCCAUGCAGUUCGCCCCCUGCAUGCUGCUGUUUUUUUUUUUUUUGAGGUCACUUCGUCCACAUUGCAGGUGCUUCGACGGGCGACCUGCAGUUCGCCCAGCGGCCACCACGAGCCCGCGACGUCCGACAUGCUGCAGUUUUGGGUUGAUGUUGAAUUGAACGGCGCUGAAGGCCCCGUGCAGUCUGGUGUGGCGUAAGCAUGCAGAACGGGCGGUGGCGAGGUAGCUCCUGUAGUUCCUGUAUGCGGCGUGUGCGGUUUGUUUGCAGCCCAUGUGCACGAUGCAUGCAGGUCGUGUGUGUGUGUGUGUGUCAAUGUUCUGUUCGCUGGGAAACUACAGAAGAAAAAUGAUCAAUUUUUUAAGUUCACUUUCUUCUUGAAUGUGUGAGAGAAAAUGUAAAAAUUUAUUUGUGUGAGAGAGAAAUGUCUCUCGCGCGGUUCGUGUGUGAAGUUUUGUAUGUAUUCUUUUAUUUGUAGAAAAGGUGUCUGGUUCAUUU